AGGAAGGCUCUUGGGUUGUAAACCUCUUUUCUCAGGGAAGAACAAMAUGACGGUACCUGAGGAAUAAGCAUCGGCUAACUCCGUGCCAGCAGCCGCGGUAAUACGGAGGAUGCAAGCGUUAUCCGGAAUGAUUGGGCGUAAAGCGUCCGCAGGUGGCAUUGAAAGUCUGCUGUCAAAGAGUCUGGCUCAACCAGAUAAAGGCAGUGGAAACUACAAAGCUAGAGUACGUUCGGGGCAGAGGGAAUUCCUGGUGUAGCGGUGAAAUGCGUAGAGAUCAGGAAGAACACCGGUGGCGAAAGCGCUCUGCUAGGCCGUAACUGACACUGAGGGACGAAAGCUAGGGGAGCGAAWGGGAUUAGAUA
RNAcentral lists this ribosomal RNA (362 nucleotides) under uncultured cyanobacterium. RNAcentral's name for it is "bacterial SSU rRNA". It matches the Rfam family "Bacterial small subunit ribosomal RNA", at positions 408 to 784 of the family's 1533-position model. Lineage: Bacteria; Bacillati; Cyanobacteriota. The record is from RNAcentral.